AGAGUUUGAUCAUGGCUCAGAUUGAACGCUGGCGGCAGGCCUAACACAUGCAAGUCGAGCGGUAGCACAGAGAGCUUGCUCUCGGGUGACGAGCGGCGGACGGGUGAGUAAUGUCUGGGAAACUGCCUGAUGGAGGGGGAUAACUACUGGAAACGGUAGCUAAUACCGCAUAAUGUCGCAAGACCAAAGUGGGGGACCUUCGGGCCUCAUGCCAUCAGAUGUGCCCAGAUGGGAUUAGCUAGUAGGUGGGGUAACGGCUCACCUAGGCGACGAUCCCUAGCUGGUCUGAGAGGAUGACCAGCCACACUGGAACUGAGACACGGUCCAGACUCCUACGGGAGGCAGCAGUGGGGAAUAUUGCACAAUGGGCGCAAGCCUGAUGCAGCCAUGCCGCGUGUGUGAAGAAGGCCUUCGGGUUGUAAAGCACUUUCAGCGGGGAGGAAGGCGGUGAGGUUAAUAACCUCAUCGAUUGACGUUACCCGCAGAAGAAGCACCGGCUAACUCCGUGCCAGCAGCCGCGGUAAUACGGAGGGUGCAAGCGUUAAUCGGAAUUACUGGGCGUAAAGCGCACGCAGGCGGUCUGUCAAGUUGGAUGUGAAAUCCCCGGGCUCAACCUGGGAACUGCAUUCGAAACUGGCAGGCUAGAGUCUUGUAGAGGGGGGUAGAAUUCCAGGUGUAGCGGUGAAAUGCGUAGAGAUCUGGAGGAAUACCGGUGGCGAAGGCGGCCCCCUGGACAAAGACUGACGCUCAGGUGCGAAAGCGUGGGGAGCAAACAGGAUUAGAUACCCUGGUAGUCCACGCCGUAAACGAUGUCGAUUUGGAGGUUGUGCCCUUGAGGCGUGGCUUCCGGAGCUAACGCGUUAAAUCGACCGCCUGGGGAGUACGGCCGCAAGGUUAAAACUCAAAUGAAUUGACGGGGGCCCGCACAAGCGGUGGAGCAUGUGGUUUAAUUCGAUGCAACGCGAAGAACCUUACCUGGUCUUGACAUCCACAGAACUUAGCAGAGAUGCUUUGGUGCCUUCGGGAACUGUGAGACAGGUGCUGCAUGGCUGUCGUCAGCUCGUGUUGUGAAAUGUUGGGUUAAGUCCCGCAACGAGCGCAACCCUUAUCCUUUGUUGCCAGCGGUUAGGCCGGGAACUCAAAGGAGACUGCCAGUGAUAAACUGGAGGAAGGUGGGGAUGACGUCAAGUCAUCAUGGCCCUUACGACCAGGGCUACACACGUGCUACAAUGGCAUAUACAAAGAGAAGCGACCUCGCGAGAGCAAGCGGACCUCAUAAAGUAUGUCGUAGUCCGGAUUGGAGUCUGCAACUCGACUCCAUGAAGUCGGAAUCGCUAGUAAUCGUAGAUCAGAAUGCUACGGUGAAUACGUUCCCGGGCCUUGUACACACCGCCCGUCACACCAUGGGAGUGGGUUGCAAAAGAAGUAGGUAGCUUAACCUUCGGGAGGGCGCUUACCACUUUGUGAUUCAUGACUGGGGUGAAGUCGUAACAAGGUAACCGUAGGGGAACCUGCGGUUGGAUCACCU
Molecule: ribosomal RNA, 1528 nt
Filed under: Klebsiella pneumoniae
Lineage: Bacteria; Pseudomonadati; Pseudomonadota; Gammaproteobacteria; Enterobacterales; Enterobacteriaceae
Description: bacterial SSU rRNA
Rfam family: Bacterial small subunit ribosomal RNA
Source: RNAcentral